AUUUACAUAAAGUGACACUUUGCAUGAGAGUGUUUAUAGUGCUGUGAGUUUAACACUUCAUGACUGACAGCAGAACAGAACACAAUCUUCAUCAUCACACAACACAAAACAACAACAAUGACCUUCAGCAUCAUCUUCAUCUGGACUUUUUACAUGUGUUUUCAAGGUUUCAGUGGACAGGUGACUGUGACUCAGACUCCCUCGAUACAAAUGGUUCAGAUUGGCGGAUCUGUCACUAUAAGUUGCAAAACUAACACAUUAGUGAGCAAUGGCUGUCCUGGUUCAUAUACUUGUAUGGCCUGGUACCAGCAGAAAUCUGGAGAAGCUCCUAAACUACUUAUUAAAUAUGCGAGCCAAAGGCAGUCAAAUAUUCCAUCUAGAUUCAGUGGCAGUGGAUCAAGAACUGAUUUCACUCUGACCAUCAGUGGAGUCCAGACUGAAGAUACAGGAGAUUAUUACUGUCAGAGUGCACACUACAUAAGUAGUAGCUGGGUGUUCACACAGUGAUAAAAAGUCGUACAAAAACCUCCGUCAGUCAGACUGCACAGUGACUGCACUGAUACAACUGACAGAUACUGCAGCUGCUCAUACAACACAAUCACUCAGUAUAGCCUAAAGUCUUAAGAGACUUUAAAUAAUAUUUAUUUAUAUACUUUUGACUACUAAUUUAUAUCUAAUUAAAUAUUUUUAUUUGUCUGGAUUUUUAUUUUUCACAGUUUCAACAUGCUGUUUAUUUCAUCAAAGAUGUGCUUUGUCAAAAUGUCCAUUGGUAAAAAAACAUCCAAAUAAAGCUGCUGAUUAUGCAGUGAAACAUCAGUCAGAGUUUCUCAGUGAAGAGCUCUGAUUAACAGAUACUGAAGAACACACAUCAGAAUGAAUCAUUCACUGUGUCUUAUCACAGAGUGAACAGUUCAUUCAAACAUUCAUAAUGUCAGUAUGACUGCUGAAAACUGAUGAAUAUGAACAAACCUCAUCUCUCCAUUAGUCAAACUGAACUGUCUCAUUUCACAGAAUAAAGUGUCAAACAGUUCAACUCAUAUUUGCAUCAUCAGGGUGAGUGAUUCUGUUCCUCUCAGAAUAGAGCAGCUCCAUCAGCAGAUGUUCAUCAUCCUCAGAGGAGUUUCAUGUUACAGUAAUACUGUCAACACAUAGAAGAACCAGCAAACAAAACACACUGACAUGUGAAGGAUAUGUGUCUGUCAUAUUUAUAUUUCAAAAAUCUCUUAUUAAAUUGAUAAAGUUACCAACAGCACUAAAUGUUUGAGGUUUAGUCAUUUGGUCACAGUCUUGUUUUAAAAUAAAUAUCAGCAGGUGUUUUCAUGGUCCGUUGAGUGAAGUUUUAUUAUAAACUUUGAACUAAAAAGUAUUUCAUUUUCAAAAAAGACCACACAAAUCAAAGACAUAAAGGUAGAAUAUUAUUUUAUUUGAUGACUGAAUUUUGCUAAAAGACAAUGAGCAGUGAAUAAAAAAGCACACAUGCACUGGUGUCUGAUGUUGUUUGACAGACGAGAGAGAGAAUGAAUGGAGUCCCUCAUGUGCUGUUAGUCUCCAUGUGAGACAUCAGUAAGAAGGGCAGAA
Non-coding RNA from Myxocyprinus asiaticus (Chinese sucker), 1578 nucleotides. NCBI's taxonomy places the organism in Eukaryota, Metazoa, Chordata, Actinopteri, Cypriniformes, Catostomidae. The record is from the annotation of a RefSeq genome assembly.